Molecule: ribosomal RNA, 465 nt
Filed under: uncultured bacterium
Lineage: Bacteria
Description: bacterial SSU rRNA
Rfam family: Bacterial small subunit ribosomal RNA
Source: RNAcentral
GACCAGACUCCUACGGGAGGCAGCAGUGAGGAAUAUUGGUCAAUGGCCGAGAGGCUGAACCAGCCAAGUCGCGUGAGGGAAGAAUGUCCUAAGGAUUGUAAACCUCUUUUGUCGGGGAGCAAAAAGGCUCUGCGGAGUCGUAUUGAGAGUACCCGAAGAAAAAGCAUCGGCUAACUCCGUGCCAGCAGCCGCGGUAAUACGGAGGAUGCGAGCGUUAUCCGGAUUUAUUGGGUUUAAAGGGUGCGUAGGCGGGACGGUAAGUCAGCGGUAAAAAUGCGGAGCUCAACUCCGUCGAGCCGUUGAAACUGCCGUUCUUGAGUGAGCGAGAAGUAUGCGGAAUGCGUGGUGUAGCGGUGAAAUGCAUAGAUAUCACGCAGAACUCCGAUUGCGAAGGCAGCAUACCGGCGCUCAACUGACGCUGAAGCACGAAGGCGUGGGUAUCGAACAGGAUUAGAUACCCUAGUA